Molecule: long non-coding RNA, 620 nt
Organism: Populus nigra (black poplar)
Lineage: Eukaryota; Viridiplantae; Streptophyta; Magnoliopsida; Malpighiales; Salicaceae
Exons: 3
Source: RefSeq, a predicted model, not a curated record
UUCUUAUUUUGUGUUAUUAAUUUGAAUUUGGAGAUUUUCAAGAAAAGUAGCUAUGAUUUGUUUGAUUUAAAAAAAAAAUUCUGGGUUUUUCUAUUUUUGUGUUCUUGAAUUGAUUUUGGGUUUUGGGGUUUAAAAUUAUGGGUUCUUUGAUUUUUUGAAGGAAUUGAGUAACCCGGUUGAUUUUUGAACAAAUUUUGUUUCUGGGUGUUUCUAGUUUUGUGUUCUCGGCUUGAUUUUGGGGUUUUCAGCCAUGGUUCUUUGAAUUUUUUAAGAAAGAGGGAACCCGGUUACAGAAAUUAAGGAAUCAGUGAAGUAAUUUAUGUGUUUUGUUUUUUUGAAUUGAUACAUGCAGUGACGAGUGCAAGAAGGAUAUGUCAGUGGCUUUAUAAGUUUCCACGGCCGUAGCCUUGAAUGCUAAAAUCAAGAUGAAUUCGGGGCCUCAAGUUGUUGAAAAGCCAGCUGAAGCCAAGAAGGAACAGGAAGACAACAACCUUGACAGAGCCGAAAGCGAAGAAAGAGAAGAAAAAGGAGAAGGGCAAGGAUCUAAAUGUACUGAAACGGCCUCCCACACAGCUCAUCUUCUCCUUUGUUGCAGUAUUUUUGCCCUGGCCAUUUACUUG